AUAGCUAAUAGUGUAAUAGCUAUUAGUGUAACAACUAAUAGUGUAACAGCCAAUAGUGUAAUGCUAAUAGCUAGUUGAGUAAUAGCUAAUAGUGUAAGAGCUAGUAGUAUAAAAGAUAGUAGUGUAAUAGCUAAUAGUAUAAUAGCUAGUAGUGUAAUAGCUUUUUAUACGCUAAUGUCGGUCAACAGGAGCUUAUGAAGUGGAUGAUAAUAAUUUCCAUCGCUAAUCGCUAGUAUGUAUGAGAGUCCAGGAUGGUAGAGUCCAGGAUGGUAGAGUCCAAGAUGGUAGAGUCCAAUGUUCACGCUUGGACAGACACCACGGCCUCAGCGCUGGCACAAGGAGGUGAAUUGUUGUCUGUCUCCUGGAGGUGUUCACUGGCUUUAAGGAUGUCCACAUCUCGGGGGCUGGCCAUCAUCUCCUCGCUGUUGCAGUUGACGGGGGAACCCGUCUCGGACGAGGGGUCGCCCGGCUUGUCGGGGGCGGCCUGCAGGGUGGCGGCCGGGAGCGGCAGGUUCAUCAUGUAGAGCAUGCUGCCCAUGCGCCGUGAGACCUGUGUUUUGGAGACAAUGCUGUCAAUUACUGAGUACACUUGAACAUCACACAGUAUAUUUGAUGCUUUUUUAUAGAAUAUUUGAAGUGAGGGUUGCGGCUGUAGUGAACCUGCGAGCGUAUCUUGAGUGCGGGCCCCAGCUUGAGGCCCAGCGUGUCCAGCAGGUGUUCCUCGGAGAGCAAGGGCAAGGUCUCGCCAUCAAUCAUGUGGUCCUUAAAGGUCUGCGGGGGUAAACGGGGGUGGUCACAUGAGUGUGACCAGGAAGUCGAUGCAAACAAAGAGAGUGCGGUGCCCACCUGAGCGUACUCUGAACACGUUGGGAUGCUGUUAACGAAGUUGUAAACGUCGUUGACGCUCCACUUCCUCACGUCCGACGACACCUCGUCGCCGUUCAGGAAGAGGUUGGGCGGCCCUGAGGGUCAGUCAAGAUAUGGGGGGCGUGGCAAUAGACAGUCAAGUAAACAAGAACGGCGGCAUACCAGGUGGAAGGAAGCCGUUUCCAGUGACGGGGAAGAUGUACGGCAUUCCCGCUGGGGGGUACAUGAACUUCUCCUGGAAAGAUCCGCACUGGCCUUCCUUGUCGCUGGCGCCGCUGUUGCUCACAUCCUGGCACGCCUCUGUGGCGCCGACGCAGGUCUUACGAAGCCCCGCCUCCCCCUCCUUGUAGUUCUUCCUGCCUCCUGCAGCCAUCUCUGAGUCCACUUUGCUCUGAUGAUGAUGAUGCACCUUUCCGGUGGCCCCCUCGUCCCCGGUGUCUCCCUUCACAUCCACUUCUUUCUCCUCCCCGCCGGACGCAGCCCCCGGGCUUUGCUCCACACUCUUGUCCUCGGCGGGGCCCUUGCCGUUGCCCGCCGGGUGUUCGGCGCUCUUGUGAGCGGCGGGCCUCCUUCCCACCCUGCGGCCCCGCUCUCUGUGCAGCGUCCCCACAGGCGGAUAUGGGCUAGCCGACAUCAGCAGGCUUCCGGAGUGGAGGUCGUCCAGGGCCGGGCGGUGGACGAAGACGUCGUGGCUCUCGGGUAUGCGCUGGCGUCCCCUGAAGGCCAUGGGGUUAGACGGGUAGGACAUUGGGGCCUCCAUGCCCAUCAGACCCUUCUGGUGGGCGUUCUCCAGCUCCUUCUGGUGCAGGAUGGCGUUCAUCUCCAUUCUGAACACAACAACAUUCAGAAAAUCAUUUGAUCAGAGCGCGUAUGUAGGGAGCCUGUGGCUCCGCCUCUUUCUCGUUCAUGUAGGGAGGAAGUGGCGCCCCCUUUUCCUCCUUAAUGCAGUACUGUUUCCCAUUCAAAGCAUGCAGUAAAUGUAUAAAUUAAGGGUGGACGAUCAUUAUCAGGCCCAUUUGAGGAUAUUAUGAUAUUAUGGCGGACGUCGUGGUGAAUGUGAGACCGCCGUGGCAGCGGCUGCUCGGAGCGGGUACCCAAGCACUGGGUCUGAUGCUGAUGAUGUACCCACCUGGCCAUGUUUUGCUUGUGAAGGAGCUCCUGUCGCCGGGCAACCGUUUCCAGAGGCUCGGAGGGCAGGAAGCCAUAACCGCCUGAGGAGAAAACAAGAGAAAACACAAUGCACACCUCAAACAUCACACACUGAAGCGGUGUCCUCACAUUUGAUGUGGAAGUGGUUCUUCCAGGAAGGACACUAGCAUGUGGCGCUAAAGGGGGGCCCAGGUGAGGUCCCAUGUGCAUCUGCCUGGCUUCAGGAGCCACCAUCUCAGCAGGCGGGACCAAGUCCCUGAAGAACCGAGAACAGGAAAAAAGCCGGCACCCCCUGUAACCUCUGCUGACCCUGGGCGAGGAUCUGCGGCGCCAUGGCCAUCUGGUUCCUCAUCAUCAUCUCCUGCCUCUGCCUCAGCUCUACCACAGACACGGAAUGGCGGCUAUGACUUCCUGCCCUCCGAGCCUCUGGAAACGGUUGUGCCCUGUGAUUGGCUGGCCACCAGUCCAGGGUGUACCCCGCCUCUUGCCUGAAGACAGCUGGGAUAGGCUCCAGCACCCCCGCGACCCUCGUGAGGAAAAGCGGUAGAAAAUGAAUGAAUGCGGCUAUGACUUCCUGCCCUCCGAGCCUCUGGAAACGGUUGUGCCCUGUGAUUGGCUGGCCACCAGUCCAGGGUGUACCCCGCCUCUUGCCUGAAGUCAGCUGGGAUAGACUCCAGCCUACCCUGACCACCCUCGUGAGGAAAAGUGGCGGCUAUGGCUUCCUGCCCUCCGAGCCUCUGGAAACGGUUGUGCCCUGUGAUUGGCUGGCCACCAUUCCAGGGUGUACCCCGCUUCUGGCCCGAAAACAGCUGGGAUAGGCUCCAGCACCCCCUAAUGGUUUAUCAAUGAUGGAGCCAAGCAAAGCCAAACAUCUGAGCAACCAACAACCCCUAAUAAAGGACUUUGGAUUUAAGCAACCCAGAGAAUUAGGACUUGAAAAUCAGUCAUCUAAACCAACUAAUUUAAGGUCUCUGCUGGGCCGUGUAAGCUUUUUAUGAGGGAUUUCUGUCCAUCUUGUUUGCAGCCAGCAUUAUAGAGUCACAGUGAGGCGAAGGGAUCACGGCAGGUUUAACCUCCACGAGCAGGAGCGGCUAUAAAUUCACCGAUAAGACACAAACAACGGACCCCUGUCCAUCUUCUAAUUACAGCAACAAUCUGGUGUCCGGAUCACCCCCCCCCCCCCCUCCCCCGGCAUUGACACUGCGGCUUAAUCCCGCUGAAGUGCAAGCCCGCCGUAAAGCUUGUUUAGGUCUUGAUUACCAUCAGAGGCUGCAAUGGUCGGAUUCUUUAGGAUGAAUAAUCCCCUUGAAAUGACACAAAUAAGACGACGGUGCAUUCAGGAACAUCUCUGGUUAAAGGUGAGCUUCACUGUGAGAGAUGAUGCAAAGCAAACAUGGCUGACUAGCUGGGCUAAAAAUGCUAGAAUAAGCCAAAAGAUGAUAUUUUCACCAAAAAUGCAAUAAAUAAUAUGCGUCUUAUAUUCUUUGUUUUCUUUAACUGGCCUGUUCACUGGAUUAGACGCCUCUAAUCUUCAGGAAACAAUGUUGCCGAAUGGCUAAUUUAAUUGAUCAAAAAAGUUACUAAAUUGUGAAAUAUAGUUGAAUUAAAUUGAAUUUACAGUAUUUAUUAAGUAUAUUACAUAUCUCACGACCAAUGUACGGUACGAGGUACAUUAUUUAAAAACAAAAAAACAAACAAAAAAAAACAAACUGUAUUAUGGAAAGCAGGAAGUGAACAAAUGUAACAGUUGCUGUACAUUAAAAAUAAAAAAAUUAAUUACAAAAAAAAUGAAAAACAAUUCUUUUUUAUUAAAUUUAAAAAAUAAAAUAAAAAUAACUUAAAUUAUAUUAGGAAAACAGGAAGUGAACAAAUGUAACAGUUACUGAUUGUAAAAGUACCAGAUGGAGGGGUCGGAUUUAUUAAGCUUUGCUUCUUCCUACUCCUUUUGGACAUGUGGAACUGUGAACUGAUUAUGUGAUGCAUUCAAUUGUAAUCUGAUGCAUGUUCAAAUCAAAUAAAACCAUUACCAACAAAAUUGAAUUAAAAUGUUAAUUGGAUACAAACCCAAUAAUAUAUUCACUGAAAAAAACUAAACAUUACAUAAAAUAAUUCACAAAAAUAUAUAUAUAAAAGCUAUGAUACAUUUCCAAAAUGUUAGUAUUUAUAUUAGUAAAACAUUUUUAAAAAGGUAUUAUCAUCUUAUUUGAUAAAAUACUGCAAGUGUGACAAAAAUAG
Non-coding RNA from Doryrhamphus excisus (bluestripe pipefish), 4251 nucleotides. The record is from RefSeq and is a predicted model, not a curated record. NCBI's taxonomy places the organism in Eukaryota, Metazoa, Chordata, Actinopteri, Syngnathiformes, Syngnathidae.